Herpailurus yagouaroundi (jaguarundi) is the source of this 586-nucleotide long non-coding RNA. RefSeq lists it as uncharacterized. The transcript has 2 exons. NCBI's taxonomy places the organism in Eukaryota, Metazoa, Chordata, Mammalia, Carnivora, Felidae. The record is from RefSeq and is a predicted model, not a curated record.
CCGAGCCACAGCACCUCGCUCCCUACGUAUCCCAGCUGGGACCGAGCGCAGGCUCCACCUCCUCCCCGUCGCCUGCAGGCCCAGUAUCUGGCUCCUGGGCACCUAUUAGAUCCUCCCGGAUUCCGCUCUACCGGGCCCGUCGCGCCAAAGCCUUGGCUGGGUACAGGUCCCUCCUCCACACGGCUCUACUUCCGCCUCGCCUCGCCUCACCUCGCCCCACCCCAAGCUCAGGCAGGCCUCGGCUCCUGUCGGUCCCCGUUUGGAAAGGGGUCCAUUGUGGAAACGAUCAGCUCUUUGCAGACCCAACAGGGAGAAGCCUACUUUACUAUUCCAGCAGGAGGAAAGAUUUUCUCAUUGUGUGACAACAGCCCAGCCAAUGAGAGACUGCCAUAACUCAGUCAAUGAAAAGUCACCACACUUUGAACCCCAGGUUUACUCCAAUGGACUUUCUGUUUAUAAUGGGCCCUUCAAACUCCCCCCUUUCCUAUGUAAAAGAUUGCUCCUCUUCUUUGGUUUUGCAACAGCUCACAUGUCUCAAGUUGCAAUUUUCUACUGUUCCUGAUUAAACCCAUUUUUGCUGGUAAAA